UACGGAGGGUGCAAGCGUUCAUCGGAAUUACUGGGCGUAAAGCGCGCGUAGGCGGUUUGAUAAGUCGGAUGUGAAAGCCCCGGGCUCAACCUGGGAAUUGCAUUCGAUACUGUCUGACUAGAGUGUGGUAGAGGGAAGUGGAAUUUCCGGUGUAGCGGUGAAAUGCGUAGAUAUCGGAAGGAACACCAGUGGCGAAGGCGACUUCCUGGACCAACACUGACGCUGAGGUGCGAAAGCGUGGGUAGCAAACAGG
RNAcentral lists this ribosomal RNA (253 nucleotides) under uncultured bacterium. RNAcentral describes it as "partial 16S ribosomal RNA". It matches the Rfam family "Bacterial small subunit ribosomal RNA", at positions 524 to 776 of the family's 1533-position model. The record is from RNAcentral.